Molecule: ribosomal RNA, 489 nt
Filed under: uncultured bacterium
Lineage: Bacteria
Description: bacterial SSU rRNA
Rfam family: Bacterial small subunit ribosomal RNA
Source: RNAcentral
GACGAACGCUGGCGGCGUGCUUAACACAUGCAAGUCGAACGGUGAUCUUGAGAGCUUGCUCUUGGGUGAUCAGUGGCGAACGGGUGAGUAACACGUGAGGAACCUGCCCCAGACUCUGGAAUAACCCCGGGAAACCGGAGCUAAUACCGGAUACGACGUAGAGCUGCAUGGCUACUGCGUGGAAAGUUUUUCGGUCUGGGAUGGCCUCGCGGCCUAUCAGCUUGUUGGUGAGGUAGUGGCUCACCAAGGCGACGACGGGUAGCCGGCCUGAGAGGGCGACCGGCCACACUGGGACUGAGACACGGCCCAGACUCCUACGGGAGGCAGCAGUGGGGAAUAUUGCACAAUGGGCGAAAGCCUGAUGCAGCGACGCCGCGUGAGGGAUGACGGCCUUCGGGUUGUAAACCUCUUUCAGCAGGGAAGAAGCGAAAGUGACGGUACCUGCAGAAGAAGCACCGGCUAACUACGUGCCAGCCGCCGCGGUAAAAC